RNAcentral lists this ribosomal RNA (492 nucleotides) under uncultured bacterium. Its description in RNAcentral is "partial 16S ribosomal RNA". It matches the Rfam family "Bacterial small subunit ribosomal RNA", at positions 29 to 507 of the family's 1533-position model. The record is from RNAcentral.
AGUGAACGCUGGCGGUAGGCCUAACACAUGCAAGUCGAACGGCAGCACAGUAAGAGCUUGCUCUUACGGGUGGCGAGUGGCGGACGGGUGAGGAAUACAUCGGAAUCUACUUUUUCGUGGGGGAUAACGUAGGGAAACUUACGCUAAUACCGCAUACGAACUACGGGUGAAAGCAGGGGAUCUUCGGACCUUGCGCGGUUGAAUGAGCCGAUGUCGGAUUAGCUAGUUGGCGGGGUAAAGGCCCACCAAGGCGACGAUCCGUAGCUGGUCUGAGAGGAUGAUCAGCCACACUGGAACUGAGACACGGUCCAGACUCCUACGGGAGGCAGCAGUGGGGAAUAUUGGACAAUGGGCGCAAGCCUGAUCCAGCCAUACCGCGUGGGUGAAGAAGGCCUUCGGGUUGUAAAGCCCUUUUGUUGGGAAAGAAAAGCAGCAGGUUAAUACCCCGCUGUUCUGACGGUACCCAAAGAAUAAGCACCGGCUAACUUCGUG